UAGUAAGAAAGCAGGCCAAGUGGAGACAAAAACAGCCUUGAAUUUCCAGCCUCCAGCUUGGUCAAUCUGUUACUAAUUAACAUCUCAGACAACAAUGAUUUUUUCCUCUGUUUUCUAUACAAACAGUUUCUCAUAGUUGAAACACAGGGCUCAGAAGGUGUGCUGAUGUCUAUUCUGAAUGCUUUGAAAGCAAAGAAAAGCAUGUUGCGGAGUGUUGGUGAGGAGUAUCUGUGCAAACUGAGAUGUUUGAUAGCAUAUUGGAAAUGGCUGGACACGGGUUAUCCAAGGCUGGAACAACAGUUGGACCAGAAGCCCCAGACUGAGGUGAAAUCUGCAGCCGCGUCUCACAUCCUGAAUCAUUGCUGACAAUGAUUGGAUGGUAUGAUGGAUGAUGGGCCUUCUGGGAAUGUGUUGGCUAAUGAAACAUGGCAAUCAGUUUUAUCAAACCUUUGUACAGCUUCACCCGAGGGAAAUCACAUAACUCAGCCGUGACACCAGCAGCAGAUUUCCCAGAGGGCUGCUUAUAAAACAACAGUAAAACCUGAUAUUUAUUACAUCUACAAUUUGCAAUUUCACGCUGAACCCUCCAGCCUGUGGAACCCAUUCAUCCCAGGAAAAGAGCACCCAUGAGGAAGCCAUUUCUGAGCUAUGCAUCUGCAAUGGCAUCGAAAGCAUCAGAGCCACAAUUCCAAUAGCUGGAGGCAUCUCGUCACACGCUGGGCUGCUCAGGCUGGCCAUUAGCAUCGCCAAGGGAUCCUGGCUGGUUCUUCCAGCCUGACUCACAAAACACCUGCAAGCUGAGGAUCUCUAAAGUUUGCAGAGAGAAAAACAAGAGCUAUGAACUAUUCCAUUAAAAAGCUUGCAGCCAAGUCUUUAGACGGACUAUAGAAGGACAAGGAGGCCUGUAGAAGCCAGAGGAGGUUUGGGCUCAGGAGAAAGUGGAAGCUGUUGUGCUAAAACUUCAGGAUGUUCCUUGGCACUUUUCGGAAGGCUGUCUUGAUUCACUACCAAUGGCUGCAGAAAAAGGACCAACUCCAAGUCACUGUGGGUUCUAGUCCUGGCCUGACGAGUUCACUGCCUCUUUGACCUCGAGCAAGUCAGGCAUUUGUUCCUUUGUAAUCUUAGCUAUUCAGAUUGCUGGCAUUUUAUAAUAACAGACACGCUUACUCUGUAAGUCACAGAUGACAGGAGGGAUUGGGUAAAUCUCCUUAAACGCAAAGGAGUAAGAGAUGGUGCAAAGAACUUGCAUCAAGACUGUAUGAUACCGUUUGUUGAAAAAGACAGUUUCAGUUAUACCUUGUAAAAAAUAACUUAAACAUUCUGGUAGCAUCAAAACAUCUUUGGAAACUGAAGGAAUCAUUUCUAU
Molecule: long non-coding RNA, 1366 nt
Filed under: Anas platyrhynchos platyrhynchos (common mallard)
Lineage: Eukaryota; Metazoa; Chordata; Aves; Anseriformes; Anatidae
Description: lncRNA (ENSAPLG00000029162.1)
Source: RNAcentral